UAGGGAAUCUUCCGCAAUGGACGCAAGUCUGACGGAGCAACGCCGCGUGAGUGAAGAAGGAUUUCGGUUCGUAAAACUCUGUUGUUAGAGAAGAACAGCGCAUAGAGUAACUGUUAUGCGUGUGACGGUAUCUAACCAGAAAGCCACGGCUAACUACGUGCCAGCAGCCGCGGUAAUACGUAGGUGGCAAGCGUUGUCCGGAUUUAUUGGGCGUAAAGCGAGCGCAGGCGGUCAAUUAAGUCUGAUGUGAAAGCCCCCGGCUCAACCGGGGAGGGUCAUUUGAAACUGGUUGACUUGAGUGCGGAAGGGGGUAGUGGAAUUCCAUGUGUAGCGGUGAAAUGCUUGGGUAUAUGGAGGAACACCGGUGGCGAAAGCGGCUCUCUGGUCUGUAUCUGACGCUGAGGCUCGAAAGCGUGGGGAGCGAACAGG
Molecule: ribosomal RNA, 429 nt
Filed under: Bacteroidota bacterium
Lineage: Bacteria; Pseudomonadati; Bacteroidota
Description: Bacteroidetes bacterium partial 16S ribosomal RNA
Rfam family: Bacterial small subunit ribosomal RNA
Source: RNAcentral